Molecule: ribosomal RNA, 254 nt
Filed under: uncultured bacterium
Lineage: Bacteria
Description: partial 16S ribosomal RNA
Rfam family: Bacterial small subunit ribosomal RNA
Source: RNAcentral
UACGGGGGGAGCAAGCGUUGUUCGGAUUUACUGGGCGUAAAGGGCGCGUAGGCGGUCAGCACAAGUCAGUUGUGAAAUCUCCGGGCUUAACUCGGAAAGGUCAACUGAUACUGUGCGACUAGAGUGCAGAAGGGGCAACUGGAAUUCUCGGUGUAGCGGUGAAAUGCGUAGAUAUCGAGAGGAACACCUGCGGCGAAGGCGGGUCUCUGGGCCGUAACUGACGCUGAGGAGCGAAAGCGUGGGGAGCGAACAGG